RNAcentral lists this transfer RNA (76 nucleotides) under Fontibacillus panacisegetis. It matches the Rfam family "tRNA". Rfam says of the family: Transfer RNA (tRNA) molecules are approximately 80 nucleotides in length. Their secondary structure includes four short double-helical elements and three loops (D, anti-codon, and T loops). The record is from Rfam by way of RNAcentral. Lineage: Bacteria; Bacillati; Bacillota; Bacilli; Caryophanales; Paenibacillaceae.
GGAGGCUUAGCUCAGCUGGCUGGAAGAGCGCUUGCAUAGCAAGCAAGAGGUCAGGGGUUCGCUCCCCUAUUCUCCA